UUUCAGAUUUUUGGGCAGGAAAUUUAAUUCCACUCCGUGGUCGACUCAAAGUGUCAUAUUUCACAGUUAACCCGUUUCAGAGUUCACCGAAAGAUGGCGGAUGAAUUUUUGGCAUAAUGAACGCGGUGGUCUUCGAUGAAUGACGUCAAGUGUGAGUUUCUGCGUUCUGCAGUAAGGCUACUUUGGCGUCCCUGGCGAAUGACGCAAGACGUUUGGAUGAGAUGGAUGGAACUCCUCUACCAUUUGCUUCUUGGACACGGGGAAAUGUUCCAUCGUGACUGCGCGCAGGAAUGAAAAUCCUCGACGCACCCCGAGGUUCCGUUCUUUGUGCUGGAGGGACUCGUGAGGUAUUGAGUUCCCCGUAUCCAUCAUUUUGGACGAGUCGGGACCUCGGAGGAGCGCCAACGGCGAUGUCUCCGCUAGCCAGCCGUAACUGACUUUGGAGUGCAUUGUUUCCAGCGGGAAGCUCAGCGCCGUGGCCUAAAGGUACAUUCCAGAGAUCAGAAACACAAACAGUCUUUGUGCCCCCGCCGCUCUCUUCGCCCGACUCCCUCAUCCACAUCAAGCCUCCGCAGCCAAACGGCCUCCUCCGGCUCGUGUGUCAACAUGUGGGCUAUCGUUUUACUCGCAUCCCAGAUACACACACACACCACACACACACACACGCACGCGUACGCACCGCACACACUCGUUUGUCAUUCGGAUGGUGACAAUGUCGGCCUCUUUGAGAGGGACUGUGAAAUCAAGGCAUUUUCUUGAACAAAUAGUAUUCCAGUUUUGUUGACCUUUCGUCAGUGGAAAGGAAGGGUACAUGUCACAGAUAUUGGGCAGAACAAAAUUCCACUUCAUAUAAAAAAAAAAAAUCUCUAAUCAAUAAAAUAACCUCUUUUUUGCUCCUUUUAAUGUUUACAACAAUAAAGAUGUCAAUUACAGGCAUAAUAUUUGGGAGCACGCUUCGUCCAAUGUUUCUUUGGUGGGGAAAUGUUUGUUUAUGUUGUAAUG
Molecule: long non-coding RNA, 1002 nt
Organism: Hippocampus comes (tiger tail seahorse)
Lineage: Eukaryota; Metazoa; Chordata; Actinopteri; Syngnathiformes; Syngnathidae
Exons: 3
Source: RefSeq, a predicted model, not a curated record